GAUGAACGCUGGCGGCGUGCCUAAUACAUGCAAGUCGAGCGAACAGACGAGUAGCUUGCUCCUCUGAUGUUAGCGGCGGACGGGUGAGUAACACGUGGAUAACCUACCUAUAAGACUGGGAUAACUUCGGGAAACCGGAGCUAAUACCGGAUAAUAUAUUGAACCGCAUGGUUCAAUAGUGAAAGACGGUUUUGCUGUCACUUAUAGAUGGAUCCGGGCUGCAUUAGCUAGUUGGUAAGGUAACGGCUUACUAAGGCGACGAUGCGUAGCCGACCUGAGAGGGUGAUCGGCCACACUGGAACUGAGACACGGUCCAGACUCCUACGGGAGGCAGCAGUAGGGAAUCUUCCGCAAUGGGCGAAAGCCUGACGGAGCAACGCCGCGUGAGUGAUGAAGGUCUUCGGAUCGUAAAACUCUGUUAUUAGGGAAGAACAAAUGUGUAAGUAACUAUGCACGUCUUGACGGUACCUAAUCAGAAAGCCACGGCUAACUACGUG
RNAcentral lists this ribosomal RNA (497 nucleotides) under uncultured bacterium. RNAcentral describes it as "partial 16S ribosomal RNA". It matches the Rfam family "Bacterial small subunit ribosomal RNA", at positions 28 to 507 of the family's 1533-position model. The record is from RNAcentral.